Bradysia coprophila is the source of this 597-nucleotide long non-coding RNA. NCBI's taxonomy places the organism in Eukaryota, Metazoa, Arthropoda, Insecta, Diptera, Sciaridae. The record is from RefSeq and is a predicted model, not a curated record.
UUUGCCGCAGUCAUCAGCAUUGUAUUCGGAUCACGAUUAUUAUUCGAUUGGUCCUAUUCCAAGUACGACGAGAAAGCGUCUAAAUCGGCUAAAAAAUUCAGCACAAGGAGCUAUCGUCUCGGAUGACAACGUUGGGAAUGAGGUUGAAGUUGUUGUGGGUCGAGAAGAAACAAGUAAGGAUUUGGGUCUCUUUGGUAAGACUGGAGCAGAAGAUACAAUUGACUUGGGUCCUUACAUAAAUGCUGACUACAUAUUGUCAUUGGAGGAACAAUUACGUCGUAAAUCUGAGUUUUUGAUGCGAAUAAUCUGAAAUGGAUGGUAUGAUCUGGACGAAAUGAAGUUAUAGAGCUCGAAACGUUGAACGUUCAGCACGAACCGGAAUGCCGAAUAAACGAAGUGUGGCUGCUAACAUUAAUGAUCUAGACGGAAAAUCAUUUAUGCGAUUAAUAAUUGGAUUUAGUAAUAGUACCUUACGCGUCUAUGUGAAAGUUUGGUUAUCUUUGUGGACAAGGUUGUAUAAGCCGAAGACGAUAAACAAAUCAUCCUUAGGAAACGUAAGGUAUUAUCCAACAGAGCAACGAAACAACAUUUAAUUGA